GUCUAAAAUGAUGGACAUUUAGACAUUGACGCCAGGCUCACGCCUGACCAGCGCCAUGCCAGGGGCAGGCCGAGCAAAGACAGAGAGGUAGGGAGCGGGCACUGUGGGGACACCAGCCAGGACCUGGGGUCACUGGAGGCUGCUGGGGUGACGGUGGAGAGGGGUUAGCCACAGUGACUCCAGAAGUACAAGGUCCAGGAUGGUCAGUCAGGGACUUGCGGAGAGCCGAGGUGUGCCUUACCCCUCUUGGUGAUGCCAGGUGCCCAGCUCAAGGAGCAACCUUGGCCAGGGUGCUUGGGUCUUCCCAGAAAGGGACAGUCCAGUGGGUAGCAGCAUCACCAGCCAUAUCCUGGGCUCUUGGCUGCCAACGCGAGUAAGAGGUGGAGUGGUGCUGUCCAUCAUGCUGUGGUUGAGGCCUGGGAUAAACACCACAGUGGCAAGUUGUGCCGGGAAAGGCCGGCAUCAAUUCUGCUCUCCAGAUGCAACACUGUCCUCUGAGACAAGCCGUCUUCCCAGCCACUUGCCCCCACUCACUGAAAGCCCUCAUCAGAAGCAGCACCCACAAAAGAAAAUGAGACGCAGCCCUGAAGAGCUGCCAGCUUCCCGGAAGGUCAGAGAACAUUCAGCCCUGGACAUGGCAAGUGCAGGUGGGGUUCACCUGCUGCGCUACAUCAUGGUUCCCAGCCUGUCACCCAGGUAGGGGAACACCAUCGCACACUCCUUACCCACACUUGGGGCUCCUGCAAAGCUUGAAAGGAGGUUUCUCAAGGGGCUCUGGCCAGGACCAGGGCCACAGAACCCCUUGGUCAGCACAGGACGGGUGGUUGGCUCCCGCAGUGGGCCCAAGACACUAAGGCACGACGCUAAUCUAAGCCCACUGGGGUGAGGUGGGGAGAGGACAGGCUCCAAGGGGCCUCCUCCAGUUGGCAAAGCACACAGUGACCAAGCAAUGAUGACAGCCUGUUUUUUCCAACUUGGCACAGGCUGGAGGUGCAGGGUGAUGACCUGGGGUUCCAAUGGCUCUUGCUAGAAGGGGCUGUUAUGUCCCGGUGGCCCCUAUAAAGGCCUCUGGAAAGCAGGGAGAGCCCUAGACGAGGCUGGCACCCCUGCGCAGGCCCAAGGGUGAGUCCCGAGCUGGAGUCUGGGAGGCAGCUGCCGGGCUCCAAAGGUCGUGCAAUGACUCCGAGGCCCAGGCGUGGGGCCGGGGCCCUACCAGUCUCCAGCAGGCCCUGCGUGGAGAUCCUAAGGAGGGAGCAGGAGCGAGGAGUGGGGAGCGGGCGCCAGUCUCCGGCCGGCAGAGCCCCGGUGGGGCGACCGCCC
Molecule: long non-coding RNA, 1320 nt
Filed under: Canis lupus familiaris (dog)
Lineage: Eukaryota; Metazoa; Chordata; Mammalia; Carnivora; Canidae
Description: lncRNA (ENSCAFG00000051523.1, ENSCAFG00805030673.1, ENSCAFG00845015346.1)
Source: RNAcentral